CCUGGCUUAGGAUGAACGCUAGCUACAGGCUUAACACAUGCAAGUCGAGGGGCAGCAUGAUCUAAGCUUGCUUAGAUUGAUGGCGACCGGCGCACGGGUGAGUAACGCGUAUCCAACCUUCCCUAUAGUAGAGGAUAGCCCGGCGAAAGUCGGAUUAAUACUCUAUGUUGUUCAAUGCGGACAUCUAAGUUGAACCAAAGGUUUACCGCUAUAGGAUGGGGAUGCGUCUGAUUAGGUUGUUGGCGGGGUAACGGCCCACCAAGCCUACGAUCAGUAGGGGUUCUGAGAGGAAGGUCCCCCACAUUGGAACUGAGACACGGUCCAAACUCCUACGGGAGGCAGCAGUGAGGAAUAUUGGUCAAUGGGCGAGAGCCUGAACCAGCCAAGUAGCGUGCAGGAUGACGGCCCUUAAUGGGUUGUAAACUGCUUUUAUACAGGGAUAGAGUGCGCCACGUGUGGCAUAUUGCAAGUAUCGGAUGAAUAAGCAUCGGCUAACUCCGUGCCAGCCGCUGC
RNAcentral lists this ribosomal RNA (513 nucleotides) under uncultured bacterium. RNAcentral describes it as "bacterial SSU rRNA". It matches the Rfam family "Bacterial small subunit ribosomal RNA", at positions 18 to 518 of the family's 1533-position model. The record is from RNAcentral.